RNAcentral lists this ribosomal RNA (502 nucleotides) under Cytobacillus firmus. RNAcentral's name for it is "bacterial SSU rRNA". It matches the Rfam family "Bacterial small subunit ribosomal RNA", at positions 66 to 566 of the family's 1533-position model. Lineage: Bacteria; Bacillati; Bacillota; Bacilli; Caryophanales; Bacillaceae. The record is from RNAcentral.
ACCUUUUUGGGCUCUCCCUUGAAUGCCAAGCUGGCGGACGGGGGAUAACACGUGGGCAACCUGCCUGUAAGACUGGGAUAACUCCGGGAAACCGGGGCUAAUACCGGAUAACUCUUUCCCUCACAUGAGGGAAAGCUGAAAGAUGGUUUCGGCUAUCACUUACAGAUGGGCCCGCGGCGCAUUAGCUAGUUGGUGAGGUUACGGCUCACCAAGGGGACGAUGCGUUACCCAACUGAAAAGGGGAUCGGCCACACUGGGACUGAGACACGGCCCAGACUCCUAGGGAGGGAGCAGUAGGGAAUCUUCCGCAAUGGACGAAAGUCUGACGGAACAACGCCCCGGGAGUGAUGAAGGUUUUCGGAUCGGAAAACUCUGGUGGCAGGGAGAAAAGUACCGGAAUAACUGCCGGGUCUUGACGGACCUGACCAGAUAGCCAGGGUAACUAGUGCCACAGCCCCGUAAUACUAUGUGGUAGCCGUGACCUGAAUUAUGGGCUAAACGG